RNAcentral lists this ribosomal RNA (388 nucleotides) under Syndiniales sp. RNAcentral's name for it is "partial small subunit ribosomal RNA". It matches the Rfam family "Eukaryotic small subunit ribosomal RNA", at positions 582 to 975 of the family's 1831-position model. Lineage: Eukaryota; Dinophyceae; Syndiniales. The record is from RNAcentral.
AUUCCAGCUCCAAUAGCGUAUAUUAAAGUUGUUGCGGUAAAAAAGCUCGUAGUUGGAUUUCUGUUGAGGACGACCGGUCCGUACCACGUACGCGCAUCUGGCUCGGCCUCGGCAUCCUCUCGAUAGACGUUUCUGCGCUUGAUUGCGUGGAGCGGAUUUCGGGACUUUUACUUUGAGGAAAUUAGAGUGUUCACGGCAGGCAACCGCCCGAAUACAUUAGCAUGGAAUAAUACUAUAGGAUCUCGAUUCUAUUUUGUUGGUUUCUAGGAUUGGGAUAAUGAUUAAUAGGGACAAUUGGGGGCAUUCGUAUCAACACGUCAGAGGUGGAAUUCUUGGAUUGUGUUGCGACGAACUACUGCGAAAGCAUUUGCCAAGGAUGUUUUCAUUG